UCAAGAGUUUGAUCCUGGCUCAGGACGAACGCUGGCGGCGUGCCUAACACAUGCAAGUCGAACGGAGAUAUGAUUUCGGUUAUAUCUUAGUGGCGAACGGGUGAGUAACGCGUGAGCAACCUGACUCUUAGAGGGGGAUAACACUCGGAAACGGGUGCUAAUACCGCAUAAGACCACGACAUGGCAUCAUGACGAGGUCAAAGGAGCAAUCCGCUGAGAGAGGGGCUCGCGUCCCAUUAGAUAGAUGGCGGGGUAACGGCCCACCAUGUCAACGAUGGGUAGCCGAGCUGAGAGGC
RNAcentral lists this ribosomal RNA (296 nucleotides) under Clostridiales bacterium. RNAcentral's name for it is "partial 16S ribosomal RNA". It matches the Rfam family "Bacterial small subunit ribosomal RNA", at positions 1 to 300 of the family's 1533-position model. The record is from RNAcentral. Lineage: Bacteria; Bacillati; Bacillota; Clostridia; Eubacteriales.